Aphis gossypii (cotton aphid) is the source of this 575-nucleotide long non-coding RNA. RefSeq lists it as uncharacterized. The record is from RefSeq and is a predicted model, not a curated record. The transcript has 3 exons. Lineage: Eukaryota; Metazoa; Arthropoda; Insecta; Hemiptera; Aphididae.
UAUUUUAUAUUCUGUUUUAAUGUAGGUAAUAUAUUAUAUUUCUAUGUUGUCUAGUAUGUUGUAUGUAGUUUACUGGCCACAAUCGUUUCAAAAUUUAUACAAUGUUUAAAAUUCUGAAAUAAAUAGUUGUGUCACAAAAAUUGUUUAUUCGUUUCAAACUGGACAAUCUCAAUCGCCGUAAUAUACACACUGCAAGUUUCGACACACUUUAAAGUUCCCGGUCCACUUUUACUAACAAUAGGUAUAAAGCAUAAGAUAAUAUCAAGAUAAGUCAUUUGUCUAUUGAAGAAACUAAGUGUGUGAAUUCAUGUGAGAAUUCAGAAAUAAAUUUAUCUUAAAAGGUGAAAGAUACAACAAAAGAUGAAUUAGUAUGACAGAUGGCCCCAUAGAAAACGUCUUAUCAAUGUCUACGGUGCAAAUUAUACACAAGCAGAAUAAUAAUAUUGACGCGAUGUUAACACACAUACAAUAGUUGUAUCUAAUAAUGUAUUUUUUAAUAAUUUAUAUCGAUUUUAAUUGUUGAAAACAUGUAACUGGUUUUAAAAAUAAAAUAAAUAAUUGAUAUACAUUACAAC